This 795-nucleotide ribosomal RNA is filed under the name uncultured bacterium. RNAcentral's name for it is "bacterial SSU rRNA". It matches the Rfam family "Bacterial small subunit ribosomal RNA", at positions 8 to 795 of the family's 1533-position model. The record is from RNAcentral.
AGAGUUUGAUCCUGCUCAGCACGAACGCUGGCGGCGUGCCUACACAUGCAAGUCGUACGCAGUAGCAAUNCUGAGUGGCGCACGGCUGAGUAACACGUGGGUAAUCUACCUUACUGUCUGGGAUUACCGGCAGAAAGGCUGGCUAAUACCGGAUUAGACCACGGAUCCUUCGGGUUCUGUGGAAAAGCUGGGGAUCUUCGGACCUAGCGCAGAAAGAUGAGCUCGCGUCCCAUUAGCUAGUUGGCGGUGUAAUAGACCACCAAGGCGACCAUGGGUAGCUGGUCUGAGAGGAUGAUCAGCCACACUGGCACUGAAACACGGGCCAGACUCCUACGGGAGGCAGCAGUGGGGAAUAUUGCGCAAUGGGCGAAAGCCUGACGCAGCAACGCCGCGUGAGUGAUGAAGGUCUUCGGAUCGUAAAGCUCUGUCAGCAGGGAAGAAACCUAUGUGAUCUAAUAAAUCAUGUAAUUGACGGUACCUGCGAAGGAAGCACCGGCUAACUCUGUGCCAGCAGCCGCGGUAAUACAGAGGGUGCGAGCGUUGUUCGGAAUUAUUGGGCGUAAAGAGCGCGUAGGUGGUUUGCUAAGUCUGGUGUGAAAGCCCUCGGCUUAACCGAGGAAGUGCAUUGGAUACUGGCAAGCUUGAGUGUGAGAGAGGAUUGUGGAAUUCCUGGUGUAGCGGUGAAAUGCGUAGAUAUCAGGAGGAACACCGGUGGCGAAGGCGGCAAUCUGGAUCAUAACUGACGCUGAGGCGCGAAAGCGUGGGUAGCAAACAGGAUUAGAUACCCUGGUAGUC